RNAcentral lists this ribosomal RNA (483 nucleotides) under uncultured bacterium. RNAcentral's name for it is "partial 16S ribosomal RNA". It matches the Rfam family "Bacterial small subunit ribosomal RNA", at positions 30 to 506 of the family's 1533-position model. The record is from RNAcentral.
AUUGAACGCUGGCGGCAGGCCUAACACAUGCAAGUCGAGCGGAUGAAGGGAGCUUGCUCCUGGAUUCAGCGGCGGACGGGUGAGUAAUGCCUAGGAAUCUGCCUGGUAGUGGGGGAUAACGUCCGGAAACGGGCGCUAAUACCGCAUACGUCCUGAGGGAGAAAGUGGGGGAUCUUCGGACCUCACGCUAUCAGAUGAGCCUAGGUCGGAUUAGCUAGUUGGUGGGGUAAAGGCCUACCAAGGCGACGAUCCGUAACUGGUCUGAGAGGAUGAUCAGUCACACUGGAACUGAGACACGGUCCAGACUCCUACGGGAGGCAGCAGUGGGGAAUAUUGGACAAUGGGCGGAAGCCUGAUCCAGCCAUGCCGCGUGUGUGAAGAAGGUCUUCGGAUUGUAAAGCACUUUAAGUUGGGAGGAAGGGCAGUAAGUUAAUACCUUGCUGUUUUGACGUUACCAACAGAAUAGGCACCGGCUAACUUCGU